This 440-nucleotide ribosomal RNA is filed under the name uncultured bacterium. RNAcentral describes it as "partial 16S ribosomal RNA". It matches the Rfam family "Bacterial small subunit ribosomal RNA", at positions 338 to 795 of the family's 1533-position model. The record is from RNAcentral.
CCUACGGGAGGCAGCAGUGGGGAAUAUUGCACAAUGGGGGAAACCCUGAUGCAGCGACGCCGCGUGAGUGAAGAAGUAUUUCGGUAUGUAAAGCUCUAUCAGCAGGGGAGAAAAUGACGGUACCCACAGAGGAAGCACCGGCUAACUCCGUGCCAGCAGCCGCGGUAAUGCGGAGGGUGCAAGCGUUGUCCGGAAUCAUUGGGCGUAAAGAGUUCGUAGGCGGGAGGUAAAGUCAGGUGUUAAAGGCGCAGGCUCAACCUGGGUAGGGCACUUGAUACUUGAAAGCUGGAAUGCGGUAGAGGUAAAGGGAAUUCCUGGUGUAGCGGUGAAAUGCUUAGAUAUCAGGAGGAACAUCGGUGGCGUAAGCGCUUUACUGGGCCGUAAUUGACGCUGAGGAACGAAAGCCAGGGUAGCAAAUGGGAUUAGAUACCCCAGUAGUC